This 627-nucleotide long non-coding RNA is filed under the name Dromaius novaehollandiae (emu). RNAcentral's name for it is "lncRNA (ENSDNVG00000012720.1)". Lineage: Eukaryota; Metazoa; Chordata; Aves; Casuariiformes; Dromaiidae. The record is from RNAcentral.
CCUUCUAUUACCAACAGGAGGAACAGAUCUUGCGAUUCCACAUGCACUACAAGCCACAUAACCUACCACGGAGAUUCUGACCUAUUUUCUCUUAUCUGGGAAUCAUUAAUACCAAUAUGACUUGGAAGACUGGAAGAAACAGAUGAAAGAGAAGCCUUGAAUUUCAUUCCAAGUCUUGGCUGUCAGCUUAAGGAGGCCGAAGGACUCCCGUUGCCGGCGAGGAAUAAUGUAGAAGAAGUGCCAUGCUGGGCCACAAAAGGUGUGAUUUCAUGCUGUCCAAGAACCCGCUGCAGCCUUCAGAUGUCUUUUGCUGGGCACUCCUGAAUCAAAUAUUCAGGUAAAGGUAUGUGAGAUAUAAGGACUAGUUUUAGCCUGUAUUGCUGUCAGAGAUUUCCUAACAAUCACUAAAAAGUUUUUCUUUUACUUUGGGAUGGUGUGGAAGAGAAUAUUUAUUUUCAAAGAAUUCAAAAAGUGAGAUAGCAAGGAUUUUAAAUAUUGAAUAGAUAUUUACUGAGUAAAAAUAUUGUGUAAAAACAUGACGGUUUUUAAAGCUCUAAGUGUAUCAUUUGUUAAUUAAAAGUCAUCACGUAGUCUUUGUGGCUAAUGUCAGCUCUCAACAUGCUUUCU